Long non-coding RNA from Ooceraea biroi (clonal raider ant), 1354 nucleotides. RefSeq lists it as uncharacterized. The record is from RefSeq and is a predicted model, not a curated record. NCBI's taxonomy places the organism in Eukaryota, Metazoa, Arthropoda, Insecta, Hymenoptera, Formicidae.
UAUAUCUCACUAUUAUAUAAUACAAUAUAUUCCGAGAUGGGCGGAGUGCACUCGACACGCCAAUGGCUGGAUGACACAGCAACGCAUGAAUGUAGCACAAUAGAGGGACAAAUGCGACCGAUACAAUUUGCUCGCAAUUCGCUCAGGGAAAUGUGGGCCGUUAAAAGAUCAAUAUGACACCAUAAGCCAACAAGUUUUUCACAGAACAACGUUCGAGGGGAUCGACAUUCGUGCUAGUGACCAUUUCAUAGCUAGCAUCGUGCUUCACUGUUUUUAUUGUAGGUUGUGCAUUUGUAGAGUAUGUAUAGUAUUUGGGGUAUGUUAUUACUCACAAUUUCUUGUAUUUGUUGCAUCAAAACUGUAUAUCUAAACUUUGGGUUUGCAAAUCGCAUUAAAACACACAAAUCUUGAGUAUAUUACUUUUAUGUUUUUAUAUUCUUUAUAUAAUUUUCUUUGUAUGUAUGCUAGUAUUCAGAAGAGAUUUAGAAAAUAAUGGAAAUAUUUCUUCUUUUUCUUGUAAUAACUUUGUGCGACAAUUAUUUAGGGACAGUUUAAUUUAUUUUUAGGCAACAAUUUAUUUUUAAGCUUAUCUAUAUUUUAUUCCAAAAUAUUAUUAGUUGUUAAACAUUUGCUACUGUUGCAUAGAAUACAUAAUGAUGAAAUAAGAGAGCGAUAUCGUCGAUAGUUAUUUUUUUAAAAUAACUACUUUUGAAAUGUCAGUUAUGUGUUAUAAUGUGUAAACACUCGAAGUGUCAGUUAUGUGUUAUAAUGUGUAAACACUCGAAGAAUAUUUAGAAGAAAGAAAAAAUUUGGCGACUUUUAAAUACUAAUUUUUGCUGUUUUGUUGCAACGCCGCAAGAAUAUCAACAUCUAUGUGUUACUUUAAUAUCAUAUAUAAUAUAUUUUACUUAAAUUUUAUUUAUAGUAGAAAAAACAUCUAUGAUAUCCACAUAAUGAGAGAAAUAUGAUUUAAUUUGUUUUAAGUAUCAUCUCUGCAUUUAAUAAUACAACAAUAACGAAAAUUCAAAUAAUAUUAAAUAAUUUUGUCAUGCAUGAAAAUAUAUGUAUAUUCGUAAAGAGAAGAGAGUAUAUGAGUAGUUUUUAAAGUAAGUGCAUUAUAGCGAAAGGUUGAUUAUUAUAGUCAUUAAAUGAAUUAAUUUAAAAUCAACUAGUUUUUCAAAUAGAACAUUAUAUACAUUAUCACAAUACAGCUGAAUCUCGGUAAAAUACAUAAGAAUUCAUAAUUUAUUAUAAUUUUGAAUAAAGAACAAGCGCACAAGAAAUGCCACAUGCUAUAAAAUGAUUACUUCAAUUGUAAGCAAGUACAAAAAUAUAAUCAUUCAAUCGGCAGAAA